AUGCAACGGCAUGCGCCAGCUGAUGAGGCGAUCGACGGCCCGGGCGCGCGCCCCUCCGUUGAUGGCUCCUCGCCUUCCACGCGCACGUGCUCGGUGUCGUGCAGCUCCUCCACACCAUCAUCCCCAGCUGCUCCACCGCCUGCGCCACGGUGCAUGGUGACGCGCGCCCAGACUGGCGUUCUUCGUCCGAAUCCGCGCUACCAUGACACCAACCUCGUCGCCACUACAUCUGACGCGGUCUCGCCAGUUCCCUCGUCAGUCCGCGCCGCUGUUCGCGAUCCGCACUGGCUUGCCGCCAUGCGCGACGAGUUUGAAGCUCUUGUGCGCAACCGCACAUGCGAGCUGGUGCCUCGUCCUCCUGGCGCUAAUCUGAUCACCGGCAAAUGGGUGUUCAAACACAAGAUCAAGGCCGACAGUGCUCUCGAGCGUUACAAGGCCCGCUGGGUAGUCCGCGGGUUCCGACAACGCGCUGGUGUUGAUUACGGCGAGACCUUCUCGCAGGUCGUCAAGCCCGCCACUGUCCGCACGGUGCCGCCUCUUGCUGCGUCGCACAACUGGCCUGUCCAUCAGCUCGAUGUGUCCAACGCAUUCCUGCACGACACACUGGAAGAAGAGAUGUACUGCCUCCAACCAGCGGGCUUCGUCGAUGCCACCAAGCCUCACCACGUCUGCCGCCUCUCCAAGUCUCUCUAUGGCUUGAAGCAGGCGCCGCGCGCGUGGUUUCUCCGCUUCGCCGGCUUUCUUCAGUCCAUCGGCUUCUCCGCGAUGCGCUUCGACUCGUCGCUCUUCACACGCCGCCAUGGGAGCGACAGUGCGCUCCUACUGCUCUAUGUCGACGAUAUCAUCCUCACCGCGUCCUCGCCUGCGGCGCUCCGCCACGUUGUUGCUCAGCUCACCGGGGAGUUUACCAUGAAGGACCUCGGUCCUCUGCACUUCUUCCUCGGCAUCAGCGUCACGCGCACGCCGGCGGGCUUCUUCUGCCAGGAGCAGUAUGCUGCUGACAUUCUGGAUCGCACCGGCAUGGACACCUGUCGCCCGUCUCCCACGCCGAUCGACACCAAGGGCAAGUUGCCGACCGCGGACGGACCGCGUGUCGCUGAUCCAUUUGCCUACCGCAGCAUCGCCGGCGCUCUCCAGUACCUGACGAUCACGCGUCCGGAGAUCCCGUACGUCGUCCAGCAAAUCUGCCUACACAUGCACGAUCCCCGCGAGUGCCAUCUCGGGUUGAUCAAGCGUGUGCUCCGGUACGUGCGCGGCACGCCCGCCCUCGGUCUUCAUCUUCGCGCCUCACGCGUGCUGGACCUGCGAGCGUUCACGGACGUCGACUGGGCUGGUUCCCCGACACCCGGCGCUCCACCUUCGGCUUCUGUGUCUACCUCGGCGACGCCCUCGUCUCUUGGUCCUCGAAGCAUCAGGCCAUCGUCUCGCGCUCCAGCGCCGAGGCCGAGUAUCGUGGCGUCGCGAACGCUAUCGCCAAGUGCGUUUGGCUCCGACAGCUGCUUGGUGAGCUGUUCUCUCCCGUCGACAAGGCCACAUUGGUGUAUUGCGACAACGUAUCCGCCGUCUAUCUGUCGGCCAACCCAGUACAUCAUAGCCGGGCGAAGCACGUGGAGCUGGAUAUUCUCUUUGUUCGCGAGCGGGUGGCGCUUGGCGAAUUCCGGGUACUUCACAUCCCCACACAACAGCAGCUCGCGGAUAUUAUGA
Molecule: ribosomal RNA, 1704 nt
Filed under: Triticum aestivum (bread wheat)
Lineage: Eukaryota; Viridiplantae; Streptophyta; Magnoliopsida; Poales; Poaceae
Description: partial small subunit ribosomal RNA
Source: RNAcentral